Molecule: ribosomal RNA, 475 nt
Filed under: uncultured organism
Description: partial 16S ribosomal RNA
Rfam family: Bacterial small subunit ribosomal RNA
Source: RNAcentral
UACACUCCUACGGGAGGCAGCAGUGGGGAAUUUUGGACAAUGGGCGAAAGCCUGAUCCAGCAAUGCCGCGUGUGUGAAGAAGGCCUUCGGGUUGUAAAGCACUUUUGUCCGGAAAGAAAUCCUUGGCUCUAAUACAGUCGGGGGAUGACGGUACCGGAAGAAUAAGCACCGGCUAACUACGUGCCAGCAGCCGCGGUAAUACGUAGGGUGCGAGCGUUAAUCGGAAUUACUGGGCGUAAAGCGUGCGCAGGCGGUUUGCUAAGACCGAUGUGAAAUCCCCGGGCUCAACCUGGGAACUGCAUUGGUGACUGGCAGGCUAGAGUAUGGCAGAGGGGGGUAGAAUUCCACGUGUAGCAGUGAAAUGCGUAGAGAUGUGGAGGAAUACCGAUGGCGAAGGCAGCCCCCUGGGCCAAUACUGACGCUCAUGCACGAAAGCGUGGGGAGCAAACAGGAUUAGAUACCCCGGUAGUCCCAU